This 490-nucleotide ribosomal RNA is filed under the name uncultured bacterium. RNAcentral's name for it is "partial 16S ribosomal RNA". It matches the Rfam family "Bacterial small subunit ribosomal RNA", at positions 30 to 507 of the family's 1533-position model. The record is from RNAcentral.
AUUGAACGCUGGCGGCAGGCCUAACACAUGCAAGUCGAACGGUAACAGGGAUCAGCUUGCUGAUUCGCUGACGAGUGGCGGACGGGUGAGUAAUGUCUGGGAAACUGCCUGAUGGAGGGGGAUAACUACUGGAAACGGUAGCUAAUACCGCAUAACGUCGCAAGACCAAAGAGGGGGACCUUCGGGCCUCUUGCCAUCGGAUGUGCCCAGAUGGGAUUAGCUAGUAGGUGGGGUAACGGCUCACCUAGGCGACGAUCCCUAGCUGGUCUGAGAGGAUGACCGGCCACACUGGAACUGAGACACGGUCCAGACUCCUACGGGAGGCAGCAGUGGGGAAUAUUGCACAAUGGGCGCAAGCCUGAUGCAGCCAUGCCGCGUGUAUGAAGAAGGCCUUCGGGUUGUAAAGUACUUUCAGCGGGGAGGAAGGGAGUAAAGUUAAUACCUUGGCUCAUUGACGUUACCCGCAGAAGAAGCACCGGCUAACUCCGUG